AGAGUCCUAGCGUGUACGUAAGCGCCUGACAGUUUUGAGCCAACACUUUUUUAUUGGGAGUUUAAGUCUUCUUUUAGAAUGCAAGCCUUGAACGAUAAAGGACGCAUAAAGAAAGAAGCUUGGCACCCACCUGCGAGAGCAGGUUCAAAACUAGGGAGAUACGGCACUUUGGGCCUCUU
Molecule: non-coding RNA, 179 nt
Filed under: Alkalihalophilus pseudofirmus
Lineage: Bacteria; Bacillati; Bacillota; Bacilli; Caryophanales; Bacillaceae
Description: Bacillus pseudofirmus 6S RNA
Rfam family: 6S / SsrS RNA
About the family: E. coli 6S RNA was the first non coding RNA to be sequenced, but its function was unknown until recently. It consists of 184 nucleotides that fold into an extended hairpin structure with a large single-stranded internal bulge.
Source: RNAcentral